UGCAUUCACUACUGUAAGUCGCUCUGAAUAAGAGCGUCUGCUAAAUGACAAAAA
Molecule: non-coding RNA, 54 nt
Organism: Salmo salar (Atlantic salmon)
Lineage: Eukaryota; Metazoa; Chordata; Actinopteri; Salmoniformes; Salmonidae
Source: Rfam